AAAGAAAAGGUAAAAGGGGGACCCACAGAAAGAAAACCAUUCUUCAUCCUCCAUUUUAAUACAUAAUAUAUAAACUCCACUCACAGAAAAGGAAGGGGAUUUCUUAUAUUUUUCAUUUAAAAAAUGGGCCCCACUUGAAAGAUUUCUUGAUUUUUCAAUUCAUUAACCAUAAAAAGGGGACUCUCCAUUUUCACACUCUCAACACCCAACACACACCUGGAUUUCAUUUUCAUCUCACCAUCAUAAUAUAUAAAUUUCCAUCACUGAACACACACACUGGUCACACAGAAAUCACACAUAUACUCUCUCAAUGCAUACGAAUACCUACAAUAAUGGGAAAGACAGAAGUGGGUCGUAGUUUGAGCAAAAAAAUAGAGUGACACAAGGAAGAGGGAAGCAAUAGAGAAGGAUUAGGGAGGUUUGACUGUGGGAGAGGAGAGAAAUCAUGAGAAGAAAGAGAGAGAAAAUGCGCGAGAGAAGGUAGAUCGAAAGUAGAAGAGUUGAACGGAGGAGUGGGGUCUCUUGAAUUUUUUGGUGAGUCCUCACCAGAAACUCGCCGGAUACACCGACCAGUCACCUCACAUCCCCGCUUCUAUCCUCAACCAGUAAUCCCAACUGAUUGUUCUAUUUGAAUCAUCAGAAAACACCGUCAAUCCCAAAGCACCCAAACCCGACUCAAAAAUCCAAAACCAGCCAGCUAAAAAUAACCCUUCAUCACUGUAAUCAUUAGAGAUUGACUUUUUCAGUCUAAUUUCGUCAAAUCCUAUUGGGUUAAGUUCGAUUGCGGGGUUUCUACGGCAAGGUGGUCCAAUUUCUCUUUUAGCCAACAUUCGAUUCUCGUCCGAACUAGUCAACGUUGAUUUUGGAUUGUUCGGGUUGCGGGUUCGUGGAUUGAGGUCUGAUUUGAGGUCUUCGAAUCCAGCUCUAUAUUCUAAUUACAUAAUUUGUCUCAAUAAAAUCAAGGUCCAAUUCUUCUUUCUCUCCUUUUAUCUUCUCGUUUACUAUAAUUGGUAUGUUGAUUUAAAUAUGGGUGUUGAUUGAUCUUGAUCGAUGAUUGAAUAACUACUCAUUUUAUUUAUUGUUUGAUCCUUUUGAGUUAUGAAUUGUGUAAUAAAGUAAUACCUCGUUAAGAAUUAAAAGGAAAUUCGGGGAAGGAAUCGAAAAAUCGGCAAAAAAGUGAAUAUUGUGGUAUUUUUAUUCAUUGUUGUUGUUGAACUUCGAUAGUAUCAUGUUUUACACCAUGAAUUGGUAGGAAUAUCGUAGGUUUUGGGUAGGCAAAGUUUAGGACUCAUGGUUUUGUUGAAUGUUUGAAAUUUUGUUGAGUGGUUUGAUUUUAUCGCACCGAAAAAUAUAUUCAUUUAGCUUGGGAAUGCCCCGAGUUCAUUUGUAUUUCUUCACCGGGGAAUGCCCCACAGUAUCUUGUACUCGGAGGACAUUCAUGAUGAAGACCUGAGGUAUCGGGUAAAGCACGGGAGCAUGGUUCAGGAUUAGCGUAGGUUAGAAUAAGAUUUAUUUUUCCCAUUUUUAUUCUUGGGAUUGUAUAAUUGGACUGAACAUUAUAUUUUGAAUUUAUUUUGUUUUGCAUGUUUGAUUGAUUAUUUUAUGUAAUAUAUGUGAUAUAUACAUUCAUAGUGUUCAAAUUAGCCGAUACGCUCCACCAAGGGACCAUGGUCGAACCACGGGAUCGAGGGGUGCCUAACACCUUCCCUUCGGUCAAUAGAAUUCCUUAAUCGGAAUCUCUUUUCGCGGAUCAGUUUUAGAGUCAAAACUAUUUUUAAAAAAGGAUUUCCAAAGGUGACUUGGCACACCCAAUUUAUGCUAAGUGGCGACUCAAAGUUUUAAAUAUAAAUAAUCCUUUUUGAAAUAAAUUUUUAUUUUAUCACUUUAAUAAUAAAAGUCCUUUCGAAACUUAAAAAUGAAUCUUUUUGGUUAAAAAAAGGGGUGUGACAGCUCUGGCAACUCUACUGGGGACUUUUCAGAAUUCGAGCUUAUUUUGGAUUUGUAUCGGCUUAGUUUGGUACUGUAGGUGUAUAGAAAUGUUGUUUGUGUUAUUUUGUGUUAUUGUAUUAUCACUGUUGAGUGCCUACGUGCUCUUUGUUUACAGUUUUUAUCUUAUGUGUUACCACUUUAUAUCUGACAUCAUGUGCAUAACCCGAGUCAUUCUUUCUGCAACAAGUCCGUAGUACACGUAUUGUACACGGCCUCUAGUUGAGUCACCCUUAUUUUAGGGGGGGAGAGGGGAGCCGUCGAUGUUAUAGAGUAGGUGGAAAGCAAAGCAGCCACUAUCGACCAUACACUUUCCCGAACAGCCUUGUUAGUAAACUCCAACGUAGGUCAACCUUUAGGUCAUGCUUAUGUGCAUCAUAUUGAAGACCUAGCGGGGCCCACUUGGUCCUUUGUAGGAAACUCACCUCUAAAGCAUCCCUACAUGCUAAAUGUUGCAUCUUUGAGGGUAACGAGGUCAUUUGACAGACUGAUUUGGGCAAAAACAUGAGUUAGAAGCAAAGUGUGUAGGAAGGAAAUUAUUGAAAAAAGGAAGAAAAAAAGAGUGAAAAAAAAAUUUGAUAGUUUUUAGGGUUCUUUAUGGCUUUUGUUUUCACAAUUCAAAAAUAAAAAAAAAUAAUAUUUUUUUUUACUUUUUGUACUCAUUUCCCAAAAAAUCAAAAACGUUAAAAUAAAUUCCUUUUAUUUCUUUAGUAAGCAUUCACAAUUUGAAAACUCCAAAAAAAAUUUUCCCUUUUCAGUAAGAGGUUUGUACAUUUUUAUAUAACUAAAAUAUCAAAAGAAAUUUUUUUUUCAUAGUUGUUGGUGUUAGUUUCUAAUUAAAAUCCCAAAAAGAUUUUAUUUUCAUCGUCUGUCUUUAGUUGUGUCUCUCAAUUCAGGGUUUAGUUUGUCAUUUAAUCCUUAAUUAUUCAAUCUGGACGAACUACACACCCCUGAUUCUCCUCUCUCGGGAGUGAGAUACGUAGGUAGCCUAUUGUUGGUUCGGGGAUCUUAUUUAAAAAAUUCAAUAAAAAAGAUUUUCUUUACUCUUUAUUAGAGUAGGUGUUUCAUAUACAUCUUUAAAAGAAAACUACAAAAAAGAUUUUUCCUUUAAUAGGUUCAAGUUUCAUGUUUAUAUGAAAUUCAAAAUCGAAAACCCAAAAAGAUUUUUCUUUGGUAAUCAUAGGUUUCAUUUUGUAUAGGGAGUUUAAACUUGAAAAAUGCAAAAAAAAUAAAUUUCGUCAAUUCUUUUGACAAUUUGUUAUUUCCUUUUCUUUUUAAAGUUUCAAGAAAAAGAAAAAAGAAAGGAAAAAAAAUUAAUUGGCAAUUUUGGCAAGAAUUCACGAACUACGCAUACCUAAUUCUCCUCUCUCGGGAAUGAGAUACGUAGGCGUCCUUCUUGGGUUUGGUGAUCCUUUAAAAAAAAAGAAAAAGAAAAAGGUUUUAAAAAAGUGUUGAACUCUAACGCAUUUACUCUCUCUUGUCCAGUUAGUUUAAGGUGGUUGGUUUGUGGCAUUUUGGCUGGUCCUUCAUAUUGCACCAAAUCGAAGAGAAAGUUAUGACUAACAGGAAUACUGAGUUUGUUCUCACUGAUCAGAUAGGGAGUUCGGGCAAUGAGAAUUUAAGAGCUAAUGAAGAGAUUCGAAAAUUAAGGCAACAAAUGAUAGAAAUGCAUCGAGCUUGGGCUAAUGGGUUGCCACCUCCUCCAUUUCCCGCUGAUAAUCUGGAAUAUCUUUCUAGCUUGCCUCCAGAGUCAUAUACACAGUUUCCUAUUUUUAUUGACACACCAUAACAUGUAUCAGGACCUGCUCCGGGGCAACAUUAUCCAAACACUUCCAAUAUUCAUUUCCUCACUCUUCAACACAAAGCUAACAUAUUCUUGGCUCUACCUACUGUUCAUAUUUAUGCAGCACCACCCCCACCCAAAUGUAACACCCCGUAUUCAAGUACAUGUAUUGGUCUUAUUUAUAUGGAAUAAUUUUUUUUU
RNAcentral lists this long non-coding RNA (3970 nucleotides) under Capsicum annuum. RNAcentral's name for it is "long non-coding RNA (CANN_LNC005029)". The record is from RNAcentral. Lineage: Eukaryota; Viridiplantae; Streptophyta; Magnoliopsida; Solanales; Solanaceae.